RNAcentral lists this ribosomal RNA (270 nucleotides) under uncultured archaeon. RNAcentral's name for it is "partial 16S ribosomal RNA". It matches the Rfam family "Archaeal small subunit ribosomal RNA", at positions 477 to 747 of the family's 1478-position model. The record is from RNAcentral.
CAGUACCUCAAGUGGUCAGGAUGAUUAUUGGGCCUAAAGCAUCCGUAGCCGGCGCUGUAAGUUUUCGGUUAAAUCUGUACGCUCAACGUACAGGCUGCCGGGAAUACUGCAGCGCUAGGGAGUGGGAGAGGUAGACGGUACUCGGUAGGAAGGGGUAAAAUCCUUUGAUCUAUUGAUGACCACCUGUGGCGAAGGCGGUCUACCAGAACACGUCCGACGGUGAGGGAUGAAAGCUGGGGGAGCAAACCGGAUUAGAGACCCGAGUAGUCC